RNAcentral lists this ribosomal RNA (349 nucleotides) under uncultured bacterium. Its description in RNAcentral is "bacterial SSU rRNA". It matches the Rfam family "Bacterial small subunit ribosomal RNA", at positions 8 to 349 of the family's 1533-position model. The record is from RNAcentral.
AGAGUUUGAUCAUGGCUCAGGAUGAACGCUAGCUACAGGCUUAACACAUGCAAGUCGAGGGGAAACGACAUCGAAAGCUUGCUUUUGACGGGCGUCGACCGGCGCACGGGUGAGUAACGCGUAUCCAACCUGCCCACCACUUGGGGAUAACCUUGCGAAAGUAAGACUAAUACCCAAUGAUAUCUCUAGAAGACAUCUGAAAGAGAUUAAAGAUUUAUCGGUGAUGGAUGGGGAUGCGUCUGAUUAGCUUGUUGGCGGGGUAACGCCACCAAGGCGACGAUCAGUAGGGGUUCUGAGAGGAAGGUCCCCACAUUGGAACUGAGACACGGUCCAAGCUCCUACGGGAGCA